This 476-nucleotide ribosomal RNA is filed under the name Salmonella enterica subsp. enterica serovar Braenderup. RNAcentral describes it as "partial 23S ribosomal RNA". It matches the Rfam family "Bacterial large subunit ribosomal RNA", at positions 161 to 678 of the family's 2925-position model. Lineage: Bacteria; Pseudomonadati; Pseudomonadota; Gammaproteobacteria; Enterobacterales; Enterobacteriaceae. The record is from RNAcentral.
AAUCCAUAGGUUAAUGAGGCGAACCGGGGGAACUGAAACAUCUAAGUACCCCGAGGAAAAGAAAUCAACCGAGAUUCCCCCAGUAGCGGCGAGCGAACGGGGAGGAGCCCAGAGCCUGAAUCAGCAUGUGUGUUAGUGGAAGCGUCUGGAAAGGCGCGCGAUACAGGGUGACAGCCCCGUACACAAAAGCGCAUGUGCUGUGAGCUCGAUGAGUAGGGCGGGACACGUGGUAUCCUGUCUGAAUAUGGGGGGACCAUCCUCCAAGGCUAAAUACUCCUGACUGACCGAUAGUGAACCAGUACCGUGAGGGAAAGGCGAAAAGAACCCCGGCGAGGGGAGUGAAAAAGAACCUGAAACCGUGUACGUACAAGCAGUGGGAGCACCCUUUUGGGUGUGACUGCGUACCUUUUGUAUAAUGGGUCAGCGACUUAUAUUCUGUAGCAAGGUUAACCGCAUAGGGGAGCCGGAGGGAAACC